RNAcentral lists this ribosomal RNA (447 nucleotides) under uncultured bacterium. RNAcentral's name for it is "bacterial SSU rRNA". It matches the Rfam family "Bacterial small subunit ribosomal RNA", at positions 329 to 793 of the family's 1533-position model. The record is from RNAcentral.
CGCCAGACUCCUACGGGAGGCAGCAGUGGGGAAUAUUGCACAAUGGGGGAAACCCUGAUGCAGCGACGCCGCGUGAGUGAAGAAGUAUUUCGGUAUGUAAAGCUCUAUCAGCAGGGAAGAAGUUGACGGUACCUGAGUAAGAAGCCCCGGCUAACUACGUGCCAGCAGCCGCGGUAAUACGUAGGGGGCAAGCGUUAUCCGGAUUUACUGGGUGUAAAGGGAGCGUAGACGGCAGUGCAAGUCUGAAGUGAAAGCCCCGGGCUUAACCCGGGAAUUGCUUUGGAAACUGUACGGCUGGAGUGCUGGAGAGGUAAGCGGAAUUCCUAGUGUAGCGGUGAAAUGCGUAGAUAUUAGGAGGAACACCAGUGGCGAAGGCGGCUUACUGGACAGUAACUGACGUUGAGGCUCGAAAGCGUGGGGAGCAAACAGGAUUAGAUACCCUCGUAC